GUGCUGAGUAUUGUGAAAACAGACUAAAAGCAUUGAGCAAAGACAACAGAAAAGGAAUCUGCUCACCUUAAUGAAUUGCAUAACCAUGUGGAACCUGCACUAUUUCCAAAAUGAAUUGUUGAGGAGUUACGUAGCAUAGCAGAGGCAAGUGCUGGAGGUGCUCGUGUUGUUAUUUUGAAUUGCUUAUGGACGGGAAAACGUUUGGAACAAGAUAACUUUACAGGUCACCGAUCUCAAUCUUUUAACAAUGGCAAGGUCAAGUACUGGUACAAAUACACUCAACUGUUCCAUCCAGGAGCGUGAAGAGUAUUCCAUCACUCACUAUACUCAUCUUGCAAGAGGUGGAGUAACUUUGGGAAGCCCUGAAAGGAACUGUUCACCAACUCUGACCAGCUCCACCAUUUCUUGGCAUUUACAGAUUCUGAGAAAGUUAAUGGGAACUGAAUUUGAUAACUAGUAGCUCAUUAAAGGAAGAAUUAAGUCUUUGUAAAAUAAAACUACAUAAACUGAAUUUUUCAGCAUAUUGUUUGUUCAAUUAAGAUUUUUGGCAGCCACAUGAUUCACUGAAUUGCCAAUGAAAGGCAUAUCACUUUUAAAUGGUGCCAUUUUGCCUGGGCCAUUAAAGUGAAUGACACAAGUGUUUUAAAGCCAAUAUCACAAGAACAAAGAGUGAAUUCAUUUCAAAUUUUAAAAAUAACUCCUGCUCAAGCACCAAUGGUUGACACAUACAGGCAGAAACACAUAAUUCUCCCUUUGCGGAAGGCAAUUUUAUCAAGAAAGCUCAUGCAACAAAACAUGAUACUUACCCUCGAUCAAAUAUACAUAAAUCUGCACCAUAGACAGUGUCGCUGCCCUGAGGCUGCAGACAUCUAU
Molecule: long non-coding RNA, 873 nt
Organism: Mobula hypostoma (lesser devil ray)
Lineage: Eukaryota; Metazoa; Chordata; Chondrichthyes; Myliobatiformes; Myliobatidae
Exons: 3
Source: RefSeq, a predicted model, not a curated record